This 467-nucleotide ribosomal RNA is filed under the name uncultured bacterium. Its description in RNAcentral is "bacterial SSU rRNA". It matches the Rfam family "Bacterial small subunit ribosomal RNA", at positions 328 to 792 of the family's 1533-position model. The record is from RNAcentral.
UAUCCAGACUCCUACGGGAGGCAGCAGUGAGGAAUAUUGGUCAAUGGGCUUACGCCUGAACCAGCCAAGUCGCGUGAGGGAAGACUGCCCUAUGGGUUGUAAACCUCUUUUGUCAGGGAGCAACGCCGGCUACGUGUAGCCGGACUGAGAGUACCUGAAGAAAAAGCAUCGGCUAACUCCGUGCCAGCAGCCGCGGGAAUACGUAGGUGGCACGCGUUAUCCGGAAUGAUUGGGCGUAAAGGGUGCGCAGGCGGCGUGGCAAGUCUGAAGUGAAAGGUACGGGCUCAACCUGUACAGGCUUUGGAAACUGCCACGCUCGAGGACAGGAGAGGGCGGUGGAACUCCAUGUGUAGCGGUAAAAUGCGUAGAUAUAGGGAAGAACACCAGUGGCGAAGGCGGCCGCCUGGACUGUUACUGACGCUCAGGCACGAAAGCGUGGGGAGCAAAUAGGAUUAGAUACCCCAGUA